GGAGAGGUGGCUGAGUGGCUUAAAGCAUUGGUUUGCUAAACCAACAUACAGAUUUUCCUGUAUCAUGGGUUCGAAUCCCGUUCUCUCUGA
RNAcentral lists this transfer RNA (90 nucleotides) under Heterosigma akashiwo. RNAcentral describes it as "tRNA-Ser". It matches the Rfam family "tRNA". Rfam says of the family: Transfer RNA (tRNA) molecules are approximately 80 nucleotides in length. The record is from RNAcentral. Lineage: Eukaryota; Raphidophyceae; Chattonellales; Chattonellaceae.